Long non-coding RNA from Phyllostomus discolor (pale spear-nosed bat), 1509 nucleotides. RefSeq lists it as uncharacterized. The transcript has 2 exons. NCBI's taxonomy places the organism in Eukaryota, Metazoa, Chordata, Mammalia, Chiroptera, Phyllostomidae. The record is from RefSeq and is a predicted model, not a curated record.
CCGGGUCGCCUUACCUCCUGACCUUCAGCUGGGGCCCAGCGAUCCGCUGCGAUUAGCAUCUCGCCACCCACAGCGAACAAACAGCUCUCUGUGUGCCCGCCCCGCUGGGCCCACUGUAGGGCCCUGCAGGAAGCAGGAUGUUGACCCAGAGGCAGCACCCUGUGGCUCCCUCCGGUGGACCCGGCCACGUAUGAGUAAACUGAGGCUCAAAGAGGCAGAGGGACGUGUCUGCAGCCGCACAGCUACAGCAAGUGUGGACCCGGCCUGCAAACGUGGGCCGUGUGUUUCCCGCUCCGCCCCUCAGCGACAGUGGACGCGUGGCGAGUAGUUCUUAAAAAUCGCUCCCCUGGAUGCCUUGAAGUGGAGGCACUGGACUUUGUCUGGAUCCUUAGACCUGAUUCUCCUCGUCCCACCAACAAGGGCCUCCUUUUUGGGGUGGGGGGGCCUUCCACGCACCUCUCUACAACGUGGGGGGAGGUGGACAUCAAUGACGCUGCCACAAGGAGCCUUGCCCAAUGUCAGACCCUUUCUCCAAACACAAGCCAUUGACUGGGCCCCAUCUGGGGCAGAAUGCCCUGGUGCAGGCCCGGCCGCCCUGAACCGGGGAUCAGGUUCACUUCACCCCUUGUGUACGUGGAGAGGCCCCAAGGUCACAGACCUGGGGUAACAGUGAGCACUGUCCACACCCAGAAGCUGAGAUCAGCUUUUGGGGUGCCCUUUCUUCAGCCAUUUACUAGUUUCCUAUAAUAAUGGUAAUAAUAACUACCCCAGCCUAAGCUUUCUAGUUCACAAAGUACUUUCACAAACCUUCUCCUGUCUAAUCCUCCCCCUAGCCCUUUGAUGAGGAGCCAACAUGCCCAUUUUAUAGAACCAGACACUGCAGCUUGGGGAAGGGGGGAGUGCUGGGGUGGCCUCAGAUCGCAGGGCCCGGAAGUGGUCCCGGGUCCCCAGCCCCUGUCCGGACGCCCCUCCCCAGCAUCGGCCCUUCUCAGAGGAGCGUAGGGGGCCCGGGACUUCUCUGGGCCAGGCCCCCACCCGUGGGUCAGUGGUGUGACCAGGCUCCCUGCCUUGUCACCCAGGAGCAGUGAGAAGACUGCUCCCCACCCUCCCCUCCUGCAGACAGUGCAGGUGGGGUGGCUGGGAAGAGGUAAGGAGGCAGAAGUGGCUGCUGCACGGGCACACUGGACAGAAAGGGCUGGGGAGAGGGCCCCUGCUGGCUGCCCUUGGCCUUGGGCCCAGCAGAGAAGUGGAAGGGACCGGCAGUUCCUGGAACACGAGCCCAUUGAUGGGGCACCCAGGGCCAGCUGUUGCCGUGUUCUCAUCUGCUUGUGGCAAAAACACAAACCAGCAAACAACACAGGGAGGUUUUCAUGAAGCUAGAACUGUGCCCCCAUGUGUGUUUUCAACCAUGCGUGCACGUGCACACAUGUGUGUUUAAAAGGGCCUUUCCUUGGACACUUCCUUUCAAGGUCCUUAACUCAGCAACAUGAAAAACUGGUGACCACGUCA